CCCUGCCCUGUGACGAUGUGGUCUGUUGUCGACUAUCGAUGCCUAGCUUCUUCGGUCUUCACCACUGGCCUUCGCUGUUGUGAGGUAGUGAAUUUACUGCCUCUAUUUUUUAUUUUUUUUCUUUUGUGUGGUUUUUGUUCUUUUAGAGUUUAGUUCAUUUUUUUUAUUUAUCAUUUAUGAUUUAUUCUUUAUGAGUUAUGGAUGUGUUUUUGAGAUUGUUGACUAUGGGGAUUUAGAUUUUUGAGAAUUGGGGAUUUUGUGAAUUCGAGAAUAUUUGAUAUACAUGGACAGUGAAUAUGAUUUGUAAUAAAUGACAAUGAUAAAUUGAAGAAUUUGUAUGAUAAAUAAUAAGUUGUUGGAAAUUGGAAACUUAAACUUGGUGAUAGUUUUAUUUGUGAUUUACUUUUAUGAAAAUUGGGAGUUUAUAUUUUAGGCAUUUACAUAUAUAUUGAAUAAUUUUUAAUAUUUUUUUAAUUAAAUAUUAAUAAACAAUCUUGAUAUUACGACUGUUGAUUACCAACAGUCAACGAUCAACGGUUGCACUAUCUGAAUCCUAUUGUGGCUGCAUGUGCAGCACCUUAAGAAAGGGAAUUAUAUUAUCAUAUAUAUAUAUAUAUAUAUAUAUAUAUAUAUAUAUAUAUAUAUAUAUAUAUAUAUAUAUAUAUAAUAAUUGGAGAUUCUUUUCAUAUGAAUUAAUUAAAUAUUAGUAAUCAAUCUUGCUAUAUUGGAGGUACUGUUCUAUGCUCCGCCCUGGCUCACUCGAGCGGCUGAAUCCGUCCCUGAAUGCCAUAUAAUUCACUUAAUUAUCAAGUGUUGCUAUCUAAACUAUUGUAUCAUUGGUAUUAAAUAGCGUGAUAUUACUUGUAUGCAUUGUACUUUCUAAAAAACAUGCACACAAAAAUUGGUGUAUUAGUGGAAAUGCAUACUUUUUUCAUUCUAACUUUUUUAUAUUACAUAUAACACACACAUACACAUACACAUACACAUAUUGAGGUUUUAGGAAAAUAUUGGCAAAUUUUGUGUUAAUGAUAACACGAUAGAACAAUACUGACAAAAAAAUAUAUAUUGAUACAUUAGUGGGAAUAUUCUUAUUUUUUUUAGUUCUAACUUUUUUACAUUACUUGUAUAUAUUGAAGUAUUAAGAAAACUUUAUGCCCUAUUUGGUGUCAAUAUCAAACAAGCAAAAAGUACUAAUAAAAAUUAGUAGAAAAUUUCUUACUUCUUAUCCAAGCUUUUGACAUUAGUUGUAUACAGAAUUGAUCUCCUGUUAUAAUUAAGGUUCUCUUGCCAUGUCAGCCGUAUGAAGUUUUUCUCCCAUUCAUUGAGGACAGGAAAUUAGAACUGUAAUGGUAUAUAUUGAAGUUUUAAGAAAACAUUUGCACCUUUUGUGUCAGUUCCAACUAGAAAGAAAAAAAUUUGGUGCAUUAAUGAAAAUACUCUUACUUAUUAUCCAGCUCUUUGAUAUUACUGUACACAUUGAAAAUUUAAGAAAAUAUAUGCACCUUUUGUGUAAAUACUAAACUAGACACAACAAUAUACGAAUGAAAAGAUGAAAAUUGAUGCAUUGGCAGAAAUAUUCUUACUUUUGAUUCAACCUUCAUAUAUUACUUGCAUACAUAUACUGAUAUACGAAAACAUUAGCUCAAAAUUAUCAUCUCAACCUCUAGAAAAUUAAUAGAAUUAAUUUUUUUGGACAUGAUAUGAAAAUUUUAAAUUUUGCGCAACAAUCUAGCUACUCCAUUGAAAGCGAAGGACCUAGGACAAUGACGAAAUCCGCUUUGCCUUUUUCGGAAAAUGAAAAAUAAAGGUAAAAGUGCCCAAGAAUCCUAUAACUUUUCGGAAAGUGCAAAUAGAUCCAAAAGGAAAAUAAUUAACAAAAAUAUCGAAAUAAAGAAUUUAGAAAAAAAAAAUAAAAGAAAUACAUCAUCAUUCCAAACCAACCCCGCUUCCAAAUUCAAUCCCAUCCACGGUCAAUCUUUACAUCUUUUCCAACCACCAUUGCCCUCGUCUCAUUCUUACCUAAUAGGAUCGCGCUAUUAAUAAGAAAAUUUUGAGAGAGCCUUGAUCUCCAUAGUUAGGUUUCGAAAAAAAUACACGGCAAAAACAAACAAAUUGUUAGCGAAAAAUUCCAAGCUAUCAUUUUCAUUGGUCAUUAAACUUUUUAUAGACAAAUGUAAUUAAACUAUAUAUACUAAUUAAUUUAUAUAGAGUAAAUAACCGUAAAUUCCCAAACUGUUAAAACCAUCCGUAUCCUCAAGGUAAAGUAUUGGGUGCGCAAGUGGCACAAAUGGAGAAGAAAAAUAGGAAUCCAGGUUUAAAUUUUUAGAGUAAGAAUAUCUAAUUCUUGAUUACCUUCAAAUAUCAUCAAAUGUGAGAGUUUUUUUGUAGAUAUAAGAAUAAACUUGAAUUAUCUUGGAUGGUUGACACGUGAUCUCAUCCUAACGGUUCAUACAUCUUGCACCAACAUGUCACAUCCUAGUCUUCAUAGGCCUAUGACUUCUCACAUGCUGUCUUGGGAAAAAAUAGGAGAUUUGACUCCCAAUCACCCUUGGAGAGAUGUUGCAUUCGUUACAUUGCAUGUGGCUCAAAGAGUCGAGUUACAGUUGUUCCAAGGCAUCGAGGUUGGGACCCUAAUCACCUCUUAGUACAGAGGCCCACCUAACAUGGCUAGUGUGGCUGGGUCUCUAUUGAUCGCCUGGAGAAGUGAUGAAUCUACACAGAGUUAUGUCACCUCAGAGGUUUUGUCCACGAAGCAUUGGGCAAAGCUAUCAACACCUUGAAAGAUAAUGGUCAACGGAGCAAUAGAAUGUGCCUUCGUCAUAUAGUAGGGGUGAAUGCUCUUGCUUGAGUGCCUUGAAAAUGCUCAUGUGGCAUACUGCUCAACAGACAGUUGCAUGGUUUGCCAUGGAGGCAGGGGCGUAACACUUAUGUACAUCUACUUUUUCACAUUUGGUUUUUGUUUAAUUUCUUGGAAAAUUUAAAGCUUGCUUUUUUUUUUUUUUUUUCCCUUGUUUUCUUUCUUAUUGUUCAAUAAGUGUUAGUUUUUCUUAAUUGUUU
RNAcentral lists this long non-coding RNA (3057 nucleotides) under Olea europaea subsp. europaea. The record is from RNAcentral. Lineage: Eukaryota; Viridiplantae; Streptophyta; Magnoliopsida; Lamiales; Oleaceae.